Molecule: ribosomal RNA, 334 nt
Filed under: uncultured bacterium
Lineage: Bacteria
Description: partial 16S ribosomal RNA
Rfam family: Bacterial small subunit ribosomal RNA
Source: RNAcentral
CCUACGGGCGGCAGCAGUGAGGAAUAUUGGUCAAUGGGCGCGAGCCUGAACCAGCCAAGUAGCGUGAAGGAUGACUGCCCUACGGGUUGUAAACUUCUUUUAUAAAGGAAUAAAGUGAGGCACGUGUGCCUUUUUGUAUGUACUUUAUGCAUAAGGAUCGGCUAACUCCGUGCCAGCAGCCGCGGUAAUCCGGAGGAUCCGAGCGUUAUCCGGAUUUGUUUGGUUUAAAGGGAGCGUAGGUGGGUUGUUAAGUCAGUUGUGAAAGUUUGCGGCCACACCGGAAUAUUUCUAUUGAUACUGGGAGUUGUGACUACAUGAGAGGUAGGAGGAAUGC